RNAcentral lists this ribosomal RNA (382 nucleotides) under uncultured bacterium. RNAcentral describes it as "bacterial SSU rRNA". It matches the Rfam family "Bacterial small subunit ribosomal RNA", at positions 30 to 396 of the family's 1533-position model. The record is from RNAcentral.
AUUGAACGCUGGCGGCAGGCCUAACACAUGCAAGUCGAGCGGAAACGAGUUAUCUGAACCUUCGGGGAACGAUAACGGCGUCGAGCGGCGGACGGGUGAGUAAUGCCUAGGAAAUUGCCCUGAUGGUGGGGAUAACCAUUGGAAACGAUGGCUAAUACCGCAUAACGCCUACGGGCCAAAGAGGGGGACCUUCGGGCCUCUCGCGUCAGGAUAUGCCUAGGUGGGAUUAGCUAGUUGGUGAGGUAAUGGCUCACCAAGGCGACGAUCCCUAGCUGGUCUGAGAGGAUGAUCAGCCACACUGGAACUGAGACACGGUCCAGACUCUACGGGAGCAGCAGUGGGAAUAGUUGCACGAAUGGGACGCAAGCCUGAUGCAGCCAUG